This 253-nucleotide ribosomal RNA is filed under the name uncultured bacterium. RNAcentral describes it as "partial 16S ribosomal RNA". It matches the Rfam family "Bacterial small subunit ribosomal RNA", at positions 524 to 776 of the family's 1533-position model. The record is from RNAcentral.
GACGUAGGGGGCGAGCGUUGUCCGGAUUUAUUGGGCGUAAAGAGCGUGUAGGCGGCCAGGUAGGUCGGUUGUGAAAACUGGAGGCUCAACCUUCAGAGGUCGACCGAAACCAUCUGGCUAGAGUCCGGGAGAGGAGAGUGGAAUUCCUGGUGUAGCGGUGAAAUGCGCAGAUAUCAGGAAGAACACCCGUGGCGAAAGCGGCUCUCUGGAACGCAACUGACGCUGAGACGCGAAAGCGUGGGGAGCAAACAGG